UACGUAGGGUGCAAGCGUUGUCCGGAAUUAUUGGGCGUAAAGAGCUCGUAGGCGGUCUGUCGCGUCCGCUGUGAAAACUCAGGGCUUAACCCUGAGCUUGCAGUGGGUACGGGCAGACUAGAGUGCGGUAGGGGAGACUGGAAUUCCUGGUGUAGCGGUGAAAUGCGCAGAUAUCAGGAGGAACACCGGUGGCGAAGGCGGGUCUCUGGGCCGAUACUGACGCUGAGGAGCGAAAGCGUGGGGAGCGAACAGG
Molecule: ribosomal RNA, 253 nt
Filed under: uncultured bacterium
Lineage: Bacteria
Description: partial 16S ribosomal RNA
Rfam family: Bacterial small subunit ribosomal RNA
Source: RNAcentral